Molecule: transfer-messenger RNA, 363 nt
Filed under: Salmonella enterica
Lineage: Bacteria; Pseudomonadati; Pseudomonadota; Gammaproteobacteria; Enterobacterales; Enterobacteriaceae
Rfam family: transfer-messenger RNA
About the family: Bacterial tmRNA, also known as 10Sa RNA or SsrA, is named for its dual tRNA and mRNA-like properties. Its role is to liberate the mRNA from a stalled ribosome.
Source: RNAcentral
GGGGCUGAUUCUGGAUUCGACGGGAUUUGCGAAACCCAAGGUGCAUGCCGAGGGGCGGUUGGCCUCGUAAAAAGCCGCAAAAAAAUAGUCGCAAACGACGAAACCUACGCUUUAGCAGCUUAAUAACCUGCUUAGAGCCCUCUCUCCCUAGCCUCCGCUCUUAGGACGGGGAUCAAGAGAGGUCAAACCCAAAAGAGAUCGCGUGGAUGCCCUGCCUGAGGUUGAAGCGUUAAAACGAAUCAGGCUAGUCUGGUAGUGGCGUGUCCGUCCGCAGGUGCCAGGCGAAUGUAAAGACUGACUAAGCAUGUAGUACCGAGGAUGUAGGAAUUUCGGACGCGGGUUCAACUCCCGCCAGCUCCACCA